Molecule: ribosomal RNA, 253 nt
Filed under: uncultured bacterium
Lineage: Bacteria
Description: partial 16S ribosomal RNA
Rfam family: Bacterial small subunit ribosomal RNA
Source: RNAcentral
UACGUAGGGACCAAGCGUUGUCCGGAAUCAUUGGGCGUAAAGAGCGUGUAGGCGGCUUGUUAAGUCUUGCGUGAAAUCUCGGGGCUCAACCCCGAGCGGUCGUGAGAAACUGGCAGGCUAGAGUGCGGGAGAGGAGAGUGGAAUUCCUGGUGUAGCGGUGAAAUGCGUAGAUAUCAGGAGGAACACCGGUGGCGAAGGCGGCUCUCUGGACGGUGACUGACGCUGAGACGCGAAAGCGUGGGGAGCAAACAGG